Molecule: transfer RNA, 85 nt
Filed under: Spirochaetia bacterium
Lineage: Bacteria; Pseudomonadati; Spirochaetota; Spirochaetia
Description: tRNA-Ser
Rfam family: tRNA
About the family: Transfer RNA (tRNA) molecules are approximately 80 nucleotides in length. Their secondary structure includes four short double-helical elements and three loops (D, anti-codon, and T loops). Further hydrogen bonds mediate the characteristic L-shaped molecular structure. tRNAs have two regions of fundamental functional importance: the anti-codon, which is responsible for specific mRNA codon recognition, and the 3' end, to which the tRNAs corresponding amino acid is attached (by aminoacyl-tRNA synthetases). tRNAs cope with the degeneracy of the genetic code in two manners: having more than one tRNA (with a specific anti-codon) for a particular amino acid; and 'wobble' base-pairing, i.e. permitting non-standard base-pairing at the 3rd anti-codon position.
Source: RNAcentral
GGAGGAGUGGCCGAGUGGUUGAAGGCGGCGGUCUUGAAAACCGUUGACCUGAAAGGGUCCGUGGGUUCGAAUCCUACCUCCUCCG